UACGUAGGGUCCGAGCGUUGUCCGGAAUUACUGGGCGUAAAGAGCUCGUAGGUGGUUUGUCGCGUUGUUCGUGAAAACUCACAGCUUAACUGUGGGCGUGCGGGCGAUACGGGCAGACUUGAGUACUGCAGGGGAGACUGGAAUUCCUGGUGUAGCGGUGGAAUGCGCAGAUAUCAGGAGGAACACCAGCGGCGAAGGCGGGUAGCUGGGCCAACACUGACGCUGAUGCGCGAAAGCCAGGGGAGCAAACGGG
Molecule: ribosomal RNA, 253 nt
Filed under: uncultured bacterium
Lineage: Bacteria
Description: partial 16S ribosomal RNA
Rfam family: Bacterial small subunit ribosomal RNA
Source: RNAcentral